AUGCUAUGGAGAAUCUGUGGUUGAGGUAUGUUGAUAUUAGAGAUUGCUGUCUCCUUGCCAUGUUGUCAUUAAAUGAACAUACUUGCAAUUUCAAGUUACUCUAUAGAGUAAAGACUCAGUUUGAUUAUACUUGGUGGACUGAGAGUAUUGAAUUUGGAAGUGAUGAAAAGUUUUUAUGGGGCUUUAAUCAAGAUUAUAAAUUGUGGUGUUGUUUUACUUAUAUUGUAAAAGACAGUUGGGGACUUUCAAAGAAGCAGUAGACCAGUGUCAUUAAGUCCAGUUAGAGGCCUGAUCAAUGAUUCAGGAAGCAUGUUUUGCGAGAAGAAGCCUCUCUUACGCACUGAUGGUUUGCAGACUUCAAUUAAGCCAGAAAUGUGGAGAGUUUGGAGCAUGCAGAGGGCUGGAUUGUCGGAUGCCGAAUUUGAGGCUGCCGAGAUUAAUUCCAAGGAAUUGCAUGGAACUACUGAUGUAUCAGAAGGUCAAGAACUAAGAGGGAGUUCUGGGGAGUCUUUGAGCA
Carica papaya (papaya) is the source of this 517-nucleotide non-coding RNA. NCBI's taxonomy places the organism in Eukaryota, Viridiplantae, Streptophyta, Magnoliopsida, Brassicales, Caricaceae. The record is from RefSeq and is a predicted model, not a curated record.